RNAcentral lists this transfer RNA (66 nucleotides) under Typhlatya iliffei. RNAcentral describes it as "tRNA-Thr". It matches the Rfam family "tRNA". Rfam says of the family: Transfer RNA (tRNA) molecules are approximately 80 nucleotides in length. Their secondary structure includes four short double-helical elements and three loops (D, anti-codon, and T loops). The record is from RNAcentral. Lineage: Eukaryota; Metazoa; Arthropoda; Malacostraca; Decapoda; Atyidae.
GCUUAAGUAGUUUAAACCAAAACGUUGGUCUUGUAAACCAAAAAUGAAAUCUUUUUUCCUCAAGCA